UACGUAGGGGGCUAGCGUUGUCCGGAAUCAUUGGGCGUAAAGAGCGUGUAGGCGGUCCGGUAAGUCCGCUGUGAAAGUCGGGGGCUCAACCCUCGAAUGCCGGUGGAUACUGUCGGGCUAGAGUGCGGAAGAGGCGAGUGGAAUUCCUGGUGUAGCGGUGAAAUGCGCAGAUAUCAGGAGGAACACCAAUAGCGAAGGCAGCUCGCUGGGACGGUACUGACGCUGAGGCGCGAAAGCGUGGGGAGCGAACAGG
RNAcentral lists this ribosomal RNA (253 nucleotides) under uncultured bacterium. Its description in RNAcentral is "partial 16S ribosomal RNA". It matches the Rfam family "Bacterial small subunit ribosomal RNA", at positions 524 to 776 of the family's 1533-position model. The record is from RNAcentral.